RNAcentral lists this ribosomal RNA (267 nucleotides) under Escherichia coli. RNAcentral describes it as "partial 16S ribosomal RNA". It matches the Rfam family "Bacterial small subunit ribosomal RNA", at positions 1 to 264 of the family's 1533-position model. Lineage: Bacteria; Pseudomonadati; Pseudomonadota; Gammaproteobacteria; Enterobacterales; Enterobacteriaceae. The record is from RNAcentral. RNAcentral also lists the same sequence under 1 other name.
AAAUUGAAGAGUUUGAUCAUGGCUCAGAUUGAACGCUGGCGGCAGGCCUAACACAUGCAAGUCGAACGGUAACAGGAAGCAGCUUGCUGCUUCGCUGACGAGUGGCGGACGGGUGAGUAAUGUCUGGGAAACUGCCUGAUGGAGGGGGAUAACUACUGGAAACGGUAGCUAAUACCGCAUAAUGUCGCAAGACCAAAGAGGGGGACCUUCGGGCCUCUUGCCAUCGGAUGUGCCCAGAUGGGAUUAGCUUGUUGGUGGGGUAACGGC